This is a long non-coding RNA of Amphimedon queenslandica, 210 nucleotides long. RefSeq lists it as uncharacterized. Lineage: Eukaryota; Metazoa; Porifera; Demospongiae; Haplosclerida; Niphatidae. The record is from RefSeq and is a predicted model, not a curated record. The transcript is spliced from 3 exons.
AAUUCUAUUCCAGUGCUAGUACAUGACACAGAAGUUUCAACAAAAAGUAUAAUGCUUAAAAAGAAACAAAAAACAAAUAAUUAUUUCCUUAAGAAGUUACAAGGAAUGAAAGAUGAUUGUUGUGUCUUGUCAUUGAAAUCAGAUAUUGUAAGAAAAAUGUGUAUGGAGCAAAGAGAAUUAUUAAUGAAGAUUGAUGAUUUGGAUUUUUAU